This 77-nucleotide transfer RNA is filed under the name bacterium. Its description in RNAcentral is "tRNA-Arg". It matches the Rfam family "tRNA". Rfam says of the family: Transfer RNA (tRNA) molecules are approximately 80 nucleotides in length. Their secondary structure includes four short double-helical elements and three loops (D, anti-codon, and T loops). Further hydrogen bonds mediate the characteristic L-shaped molecular structure. tRNAs have two regions of fundamental functional importance: the anti-codon, which is responsible for specific mRNA codon recognition, and the 3' end, to which the tRNAs corresponding amino acid is attached (by aminoacyl-tRNA synthetases). tRNAs cope with the degeneracy of the genetic code in two manners: having more than one tRNA (with a specific anti-codon) for a particular amino acid; and 'wobble' base-pairing, i.e. permitting non-standard base-pairing at the 3rd anti-codon position. The record is from RNAcentral.
GGGCCCAUAGCUCAACAGGAUAGAGCACCAGAUUUCUAAUCUGGGGGUUGGGUGUUCGAGCCACCCUGGGCCCGCCA